AUCCCCUGGCUAUGGAUAAAGACAUCUGACUUGUGGUGCUGCUCUGAUAUCAGUCAGGGUCAAAGCAGACAUACAGUCUUUUGUUCAUCCUACUUUGAUGCCUGGGUUGGUGGCCAGAGCAAUUUCAUGCCUGGGGCACAUGA
Non-coding RNA from Pteropus alecto (black flying fox), 143 nucleotides. NCBI's taxonomy places the organism in Eukaryota, Metazoa, Chordata, Mammalia, Chiroptera, Pteropodidae. The record is from Rfam.